AGAAAUUAAAAUAGUAGUGCAUUAUGUUAAGUCAAAGGCUUUAAGGCAUAUCAUCACAGAGGACCUUACAUAUCAUCACAGAGUAAGACAAUACAUACACAAACUGAUAUCAAAAUACCGAACUGUUAUAGGGCAAAUCAUCACAGAGGUGGCGAAUUACAGGGCAUAUCAUCACAGAGGAACUUACAUACACAAAAUUCUUCCAAACUGAUAUCAAAAUACCGAACUGUUAUACUAAAAUUG
Molecule: long non-coding RNA, 243 nt
Filed under: Panax ginseng (ginseng)
Lineage: Eukaryota; Viridiplantae; Streptophyta; Magnoliopsida; Apiales; Araliaceae
Description: long non-coding RNA (PGIN_LNC019240)
Source: RNAcentral